UCCCUUCGAGGACUUUUGGGAUGUGAUCCCGGAGAGAUGCAGGCAAUGGAGUCCAAUUGGACUCAGACGAUUUACAUGCAUCAAAUAAAAUGUAAGGAUUAUCACAUGCAACAUGUAGUACCAAUAUGUAUAUAGUGAAAAUAGAGUCUGUGAAUAUGUCCAAGUAGCUAGUUUGAUUGAUUUUGCUGGUGUUGAUGUUGGUUUUGAUGUUGAAAUUAUGGAACACCGUAUAUCAAGUGUUGUUGGUGGUUGUGCGCGUGGGAAAUAAUGUUGUACGCAGUAGUUUUGUCAUUUUUCGUUGAUAAUGUUAUUGGGAUGGUUUUUCUACUGGAGGUUGAACGUUGUUUGAAGUGAGUUAUUGUUAACAUUGGAACGGUGGUUGUUGUACGCUGUUUGAGGAAAAUUUAAAAAAAGGGGAAAUAAGGGUUUGGGCUGGGUUGGUUUGGUGGAUUGGGCUGGUGAGGGUUGUUGAAUAAAAGGAAGAAAUGGGCUAGGGGUUGUUGUUGGGCUGCUGGAUGGGAUAUAGCAUUAGGAAUUUAAUAAAAUGGCCCUUAUUGGAGUAAAACUUAGAUCAAGUUUAUUUAAAUUCUAACCAAAUUUUAAUAUCAAUUGGUCAAUUGCAUUAUAAUUGUGGCCAAGUUGAUUUCAAUUGAGGUUAAUUUAACAAAUUGACCAAACUUAAUUAAAACUUGAAAUGAAUUAACAUUUAUUUUAGUCCCGAGUUUCUUGAUUUAAUAAAAUUAAAUAUUUUUAUUGUAUUUUGUUUUAUUUGAUUUUCAAAAUAAAUUGUUUUGAGGCUAAAUUAUGUUUAUAUUAAAAUUUUAACCGUUUAAAUCAAUUUUAGAGAUAAUCCUUGGUUAAAAUUUAAUUUUCAUCAAAUAGUUAUUUAAAUAAAAAAAUUAUAUAAUUUUGUAUAAGCGAAUAAGAAAUAUGUAAUCGUUACUAAAAUGACAAAAUCACCCAGAUAAAUACUUUGAAAAACUUUUAUUUAAAUAAAAUCAAUAUUAUAAUUUUAUUUAAAAUUGAAGAAACUCGAAUUCAAAAUUAGUUGUGGAGAGAAAAAAGUAGGUGUCAACAAUUGCCUCCUCCCUUUGGGUAGGGUGGAUGUAUGUUACCUUGGACAAAGAGAGUUUGACGUUUCUAAUUUUGUCCGACCGCAAAUUUAUUUCUGAAAGAGGUUAAUUUUUGCACGAGUUUUAGAGAGUUAUGAUCGGACCCUGGUGUUGGGUUUCCUACAUAUCUUAGGUUACAUGAAAAUUCAGGUCACCUGUAGUUCACAAUGCUUUAUUAAAGCACGAUUUUCAAAGAAUUCACGAGCUAACCUGAUUUUGAAGUUUAGUGAAAUCGAAAAGCUAGGAAUAAGCAGAUUAGGGGGAGAAGUUGGAAUGCAGUCGAGUUUUCCACAUGGAUCUCAGCCUAUAUAUCUCCUAAGACUCAAGGAAUCAGACUGCCUAUAGUUUAACUCGAGCGGUGGAAAAGGUCGUAUAUUAUGGUAAGAUGAUCUUUGGCUCAGGAUGAGUGACAAGCUGAUUGAGUUGUGGAAAAAACGCUUGUAACCUCUUAACCAUAAGUCUGGAGCUCUUCACAUCCAUAGGUAAUACUUUACUCAGUAUAAUUUCCAAACUCUGAGUGUGUUGUCACUCGAAUUUGAAGAAAAGUGAAGGUUACCCUCGGUUUGAGUUUAGAAGUACUCCAAAAGUAAAACUGACACAAAAAUACCAAAAAUACCCACAUGCCUUCUGAUAGGGAUGUGGUUUGAUGGUGGUGGAAGUCGUCUUAUAGAUCGCAUCCGAAGAGUUUGGCAUCCCUCUCUGAACUAUGUCCCAGUUAGCUGCUAAGAAAAAGUUCCACGUUGUGCUGCAUCCUAUGUAAAGUUAUCCGCACCUGUGGUUUUGAUUUUAGAUUUUCAUCCUCUCGGAUGCUCUCGACAAUGCUUCAAACAAAAAUGUUAGUGCUAAACACAAUUCACAAAAGAGGUAUAUAGUCUUUACCAUAUCUCCACGUUAGUUGUUACUUGAAAAGAGAAGUCACUCCUUUUAUGUACCUAUUUGGAAGGAAAUAACUUGCAAUAAUAGGCACAACAACUCUCUUGGUUAUUGCCUAAUUUUCUCAUUUAUUGGUUGAAUGUGUUUUCAAAGUAGGGUGGCCCCUUUUGGACACCGACGACACUUUAUGCAGAAUGGUCCCUACAACCGCUUAAUCUUGCAUUGAUGCGGCAACCCUUUUGAGUCACCUAUAGUGCUUAUGAAAUGAUAACCUCUUCGGUUAUUACCAAUAAUUCUUUAUAUAUGAUCUCGGGUAGGUCUUGCGCAUCUUUUGUAUUGAUAUGACUUAUAGAUUUUCCUUGGAUUGACAAUCUUUGGAUAAUCUUGCACAUUAUUUGAUGUUGGAUAUGAGGCGAUUUAUAGAUAUCCUCUGAAUUGCUAGCCUUUAGGUAAUCCUGCACAUUAUCGACCUUGGAUCAGAGAUGGCUUAUAGAUAUCCCUCCAAUCGCUAGUUCUCAGAUAUUCCUGCACAUCAUCCGACCUUGGAUACAAUAUGACUUAUAGAUAUCUCUCAAAUUGCUAAUCCUUGGGUAAUCCUGCACAUAAUCGAUCUUGGAUAUGAUGCGGCUUAUAGAGAAUCCUUGGACUUAUUAAUUUGAUAAUCUCGAAUAUUCUCCGAUAAGAAUUUAGUUGCGACUUAUGGAUAACCUUCGGACUAUUAAUUUUUGGGUAACCUUGCAUACUAUACGGUUAGGAUGUUGUUGUGGCUUAUGGAUGACCUAUGGGCUAUCAACUCAGAGGUAAUCUUGCACACUAUCCUAUUUUAAAUAAUAUGACUUAUAGAUGAUCCUCAAAUUGUCAAUUUCAAAGAAAUCUCAUAUAUCAUCCAUCUCCAAAUAGCGACUUGAAGGCGUCCCUUCGAAUCACGUGUUUUUGAUGUAUUCAGAUGCUGAUUUAUAAAAUAAUGAGAUAUCCCUGAUGCCAUCAUAUGAUAUCUCGUGUGUCAAUAGAUAUUGAUGAUGAUGAUAUCCUCAACACCAGCGUAUGCUAUCUCGUGUGUUAAUAGAUAUUAGAUAUUAAUAAUAUCCUCGAUGCCAGCACUUGUGUCUCGCGUGUCAACGGGUAUUAGAUACUGAUGAUAUCCUCGACGCCAGUGUUUGUGUCUCGCAUGUCAACAGAUAUUAGAAUGUUUAUGAUAUCCUCAAUGCCAGCAUAUCAUAUCUCAUGUGUCAAUAAACAUUGAAUAUUGAUGAUAUCCUCGAUGCCAGAGUUUAUGUCUCAUGUGUCAACAGAUAUUAGAAUGUUGAUGAUAUCCUCAACGCUAGUGUAUGAUAUCUCGCAUGUCAACAAAUAUUAAAUGGCCCUCUUGGUAAUGGCAUGAAAUGACCCUCUUGGCAAUGAUAUAAAAUAGCCCUCUUGGCAAUGAUAUAAAAUGCCCCUCUUAGCAAUGGCAUGAAAUGGCCCUCUUGGCAAUGAUAUGAAAUAGCCCUCUUGCCAAUGAUAUAAAAUGGCCCUCUUGCCAAUGGCAUGAAAUGGCCCUCUUUGGAAAUAAUAUGAAAUGGCCCUCUUGGCAAUGGCAUGAAAUGACCCUCUUGACAAUAAUAUGAAAUGACCCUCCUAGCAAUGGCAUAAAAUGGCCCUCUUGGCAAUGAUAUGAAAUGACCCUCUUAGCAAUGGCAUGAAAUAACCCUCUCGGCGAUGAUAUGAAAUGGUUCUUUCGGUGAUUUGAAAAUAGUUUCACCUGAGUUCAUUUAUCUGUAUUUUUCUUUCUACCUGUACCUGUACUCAGGGUAGACAAUUAGUAGACACAAUGUCGCUCUCACGUUGCUUCACUUCAAGGUGCAUUUUGAGGAUAACUGUCUGCUCUUCCUCCUAUUGAGUGAUCCUUUGAUUGUUGUAUUUAUUGUGCUAACUCCCUUGAAUGUACCUGCGCUCAAGGUAAAUAUUUAGAAGACACAAAGUCGCUUUUGCUAGCGACUAUUUUUUAGAAAAAUUCUAAAUACAAUAUUCAUAAAGAAGAUAAGACGCCUUUAUUUGUCCUUCAUAGUCUCAAGAAAUGAAAUAAAUAAUUCAAAAGAUUCUCGAUAAAUGGGUCUUAAACCCAUUUUUAGGGCUACCCAAAAAUACCGUUCUUGAGCGUUAUAUGCUCUGGUGUGGCUCCCAACUUGCUCGGGAAUUUUUGAAAGAGACUCUCAUUUUUGUGUAUUGUGUAUUGAUCCCUGCAUCCACAGAAAAAUUAUUAGUUUGAGUGAAACUACUCCGUGUUGACCUCCUUCGAUCCUUGGUUUGCUUCUCACCAUCUUUCGGAUACUCCGUCUUGUUAGGACUUCCAUCCUGACUCCCCACUCUAAUAGAUGCCUAGGCAAUCACUAAGUAAAAGAUCUGUAUAGAUUUUUUAAAGUAGUCUUAAUUUUAGAAAAUAGUUUCAAAAGUUUCUGUAAAAGCUUUACAAAAUCUCUGCUAAUCAUGUCAUGUACUAGCUCAACGAACGUCUUCCUCUUGUUUUGACUAUAUCCGAUGGAGGAUUUCCAAAACUCAUCAUCAUUGUUGGAGGGUUCUUCAAAUAGUUCUGUCAUCGCCGAAGAAUUAGUCUACCUAGACUUUGUAGCAACUGGUGACUUCUAAAGUUUAACUUCGACCUCUGGUGCUGGGUAAUUUGAAGUAUAUUCCAAUGUUUAGUGGAAAUUUUAAGGCCUUCCUCAAAAUUUUUGCCCCAGUUUAAUGUUGUUUGAGAUGAUCCCAACUCAAGAGAAUCCAAAUUCUUUGUUGGUCUUCGUUCUCUUUGUUGGAUGAUGAUCUUUCUCUUGUGAAUUUUUGAGAUUCUUUCUCAAAAAUUCUACCCCAGUUUCUAUUUCCUGGGGUUACAUGACCAAGACAUUGGGGCGCCUACGUAUCCCGUUGAAGCAGGAAUCAGGUCAAACGUAGUUUAGCGUACACUAAGGAUAUAUAGAAAAAUCUAAUGGGUUGACCGAAGCCAACAGAGGCCGCCUACGUAUCCCUUUCUUGGGAAUUCAGGUCAUCACGUAGUUCAUACAUAAAAGAAAAUGGUAAAUUCUCCUAAGGGGUUGACCGAAGCCGACAUAGGCCGCCUACAUAUCCCUUUCUUGGGAAUUCAGGUCAAACGUAGGUCAUACAUGAAAGAAAAGGGACUCUAGGCAAUUACACAUCAUAAAAUAGAUACUAACAUAAAGGCGAUUACAAACAAAGGAAACAAAAGUUAAAAUAUCUUUCAAACAUAGUACCAUUUACCCCAUCAGAAUUGAUUAGUUUGGUCCACUCUUGGCCAUCCAUCUCAUACAAAAUCAGAGCUCCUCCGGAUAGUACCUUGCGAACUAUGUAUGGCCCUUGCCAAUUUGGAGCGAACUUGCCCUUGUACUCCUCUUGGUGAGGGAAUAUGCGUUUGAGAACCAAUUGCCCAACUUCAAAAGUUCGAGCUCUUACUUUCUUGUUAAAGGCACAAAUCAUCCUGUGCUGAUACAACUGACCAUGACAAACAGCAGUUAUUCUCUUUUCAUCAAUCAAUAGGAGUUGUUCAUAGUGAGCGCGAACCAUUCUUCGUUACUUAGUCCGACUUCUUGAAUAAUCCUUAAAGAAGGUAUCUCAACCUCAGUAGGUAUCACAGCUUCAUUCCCAUAAAUAAGUAGAUAAGAAGUUGCCCCGAUGGACGUUCGAACUGUUGUACGAUAUCCUAUCAAAGCGUAAGGCAAUAUCUCAUGCUAUGAUCUAUCAUUUUCAACCAUCUUUCUAAAGAUCUUCUUGAUGUUCUUAUUGGUGGCUUCUAUGGAUCCAUUCAUCUGUGGACGAUAUGCGGUCGAGUUGCGAUGCACGAUUUUGAAUGGAUCACAAAUUUCAUUCAUCAAGUGACUAUUCAAGGUAGCCCCAUUAUUAGUAAUGAUUAAUUCCAGCACUCUAAAUCGGCAAAUCAAGUUAUUCCUAAUGAAAUCUGCAACCACUUUCUUGGUGACAACUCUAUACGAAGAAGUUUCAACCCACUUAGUAAAGUAAUCAAUAGCAACCAAAAUAAAUCUAUGCCCAUUUAACGCCAGUGGCUCUAUUGGUCUAAUAACAUCCAUACCCCAAGCAAGGCUAAGGUGAACUCAUCGCAUGAAGCUCAUAUGGAGGCAUUCGAAUCAAAUCUCCGUGUAUCUAACAUUUUAGGCAUUUCUGUACAUACUUGCUGCAAUCAUUUUCCAUAGUCAUCCAGAAGUAACCAGUCCUCAGGAUCUUUCUAGCAAGGGCAAACCCGUUCAUGUGGGGUCCGCAAACUCUAGCGUGUACUUUUUUUAUUAAUUUCUUGGCUUCCGCAGCGUCGACACAUCUUAAAAAUCCUAAGUCUGGAGUCCUCCUAAAAGGAUUUCCCCACUUGGAAAAUAAUUCUUUGCCAAACGCCAGAUUGUCUUCUUUUGAAUGUUGUGGCCUGUUCAGGAUAUAUUCUAGAUUCUAGAUACCUUUUAAUAUCAUAGUACCAUGGCUUUUCGUCAGGCUCAUCUUUGACGUGUGCACAAUGAGCGGGUUGCUCUUUCAAGCUUAUUUCUAAAGAAUCAAUGUAACUCUGAUCUGGGUGCUGAAUCAUGGAUGAUAUAGUGGCCAAAGCAUCAGCAAAUUCAUUCUGCAUCCUUGGGAUAUGUCUGAAGUCAACUUCCUUGAAUCUACCACAUAAUUUUUGCACCAGCUCCACAUAAAGAGUAAUCUUGGAGUUCUUUACCUCCCAUUCUCCUCGUACUUGAUGAAUCAACAAAUCUAAGUCUCUGAUGACUAGCAAUUCAUGAACUCCUAUAUCAAGAGACAAUUUGAGCCCUAAGAUGCAAGAUUCAUAUUCGGUCAUGUUAUUGGUGUAUGGGAAAUGCAACUUAGUGGUUACUGGAUAGUGUUGUCCUUUUUCUGACACCAAAAUUGCUCCGAUUCCUAAACCUUUAAAGUUGAAUCCCCCAUCAAAGAACAACCUCCAGUCGGGGUAAAUUUUUGCAAUGUCUUCUCCCACGAAUAAAAUUUCCUCAUCUGGGAAGUAAGUUUGAAGUGGCUCAUAUUCAUCAUCAGCCGAAUUCUCUGCCAAAUGCUUUCCCCUUGAUUGUUUUUUGAGUCACAUACACAAUGUCGAACUCACUCAACAAUAUUUGCCACUUAGCUAACUUCCCUUUAGGCCUAGCUUUCUGGAAUAUAUACUUAAAGGGAUCCAUUCUAAAAAUAAGAUACGUUGUGUAUGAGGACAGAUAAUGCCUCAAAUUUUGACCAACCCAGGUUAAAGCACAAUAAGUCCUUUCUACAAGAGUAUAGCGAGCUUCAUAUGGCGUAAACUUUUUACUCAAGUAGUAAAUGGCUUUCUCUUUCUUAUCGGCCUCAUUGUGUUUCCCGAGGACACAUCUAAAAGCAUUUUCUGAGACUGACAGGUAGAGAAACAAUGGGCUUCCCUCCCUUGGCAGGACUAAAACCAGCGGAGCAGAUAAAUAUUCCUUGAUUUUGUUGAAAGCUUUCUGACAUUCUUCUGUCCACUCAUUCAAUGCAUCUUUCUUCAAUAUCUUGAGGAUUGGCUCACAUAUGACUGUUGAUUGAGCAAUGAACCUGCGAAUGUAAUUCAAAUGACCCAAAAAACUCUAAACUCUUUCUUGUUCCUCGGUGGUGACAAAUCCUGAAUUGUCUUGAUCUUGGAUAGAUCUAGCUCAAUGCCCCUUCUGCUGAUUAUGAACCCCAUUAAUCUUCCGGCUGGCACACCGAAGGCACACUUAGCAGGAUGUAACUUCAAAUUGUACUUUCUCAAUCUAUUGAAGAACUUUCCAGCUGGGUCAGAUGAUCCAAACUCUCAGGGGAUUUGAUGAUUACAUCAUCCACGUACACCUCAAUCUCUUUAUGAAUAUAUCAUGGAAAAUCAUCAUCAUAUCCCUCAUGUAUGUUGCACCUGCAUUCUUGAGGCCAAACGACAUUACUCUGUAAUGAUAAACACCUCAGGGUGUAAUGAAAGUUGUCUUCUCUGCAUCCUCUUUAUCCAUCAAUAUCUGAUGAUACCUGAUGAAACAAUCCACGAAAGACUGCAUCUCAUUAUUCGCACAAUUAUCAAUGAGGAUGUGGAUGUUGGGCAACGAAAAAUUAUCUUUAGGACUGGCUUUGUUCAAAUCCCUAUAGUCAACACAAAUUUGAAUCUUGCCAUCCUUCUUUAGCACUGGGACAAUGUUGGCUAACCGUGUUGGAUAUUUUGUGACUUCCACAACCUUCGACUAAAUUUGCUUCAUCACUUCUUCCUUAAUCCUUAAACUUAAGUCCGACUUGAAUUUUCGUAUGUUUUGCUUGAAUGGACCAAACUCGGGAGUGAUCGGUAACUUAUGUGACACAAUGUUAGUGCUCAAUCUCGGCAUAUCAUCGUAGGACUAGGAAAUUACAUCAAUGUACUCCCACAACAAGUGAACGAGUUCUCUUUUUUAUGCUUCUGCUAAGUGAACACUAACACUUGUUUCUUUGAUUUCAUCAUGAUCGCCCAGAUUGACUGUUUCAGUUUCCUCUAGGUUGGGCUUCUCCCGGUUCUCAAACUCUUCUAUAUCUUUCACUAACCGAUCCUCGUCAGUUUUUUUCCAAUCAUCAUUAUUUCUCUUAUUUUUUCGUCUAAGCUUUGACAUGACAUAAUGAUAGCAGGUUUUAAGUUAUUGUUACUGUAAUAAACAAACAAACCAAGUUGGAUGAUAAUAAGAUAAUAACAAGAUAGUAGAACAUAUGAAUGUAAUCAUAUUUCAAAAUAACUUCUUAAAUAAAGGGAGGCCUUUUCAUUGGAAUUCAGGAAAUAAGAACAAACUAUGGCUCAUGACCCGCACAAAUACGGACCCAUGCCUUUUUGAAAAUAGUAAAAUACAAAAAAGAAAAUUGAGACAUAAAGGGUGGAUCGCGGGGCCUUCUCCAGAUCAUCGCCGAUUUUAGAAGCUACUAGUAAUUCCCAUUUUAUCUACCACGAUGGGUGAUGGGUAAUGAGUGAAAUGGAGGUCCAAUUUUGCAAAUCCUCUCCUAGUGUGACCUUCUACACCCUACUGGACUUCAGGGAAAUCAUCGGGUACAGCAUUGCAUCCUUCGAACAGAUUUCCUAUCCCAUCCCCAAGACCAUUAUCAUUUUGCAUCCACGCAUAGAAAAUGACUGGUACAGGAGCGGCAAGGGCCUAGAUAGACUCGCCUUUGACUUAUUCUUAAUCUCAUCAUCCUCUAUCGGCUGGUAUCAUAACCCAUACUUAGAUUCUUUCUCUGGAACCAUAAUGGGUUCAAUAAUUCCUUCCAGAUCCUUUCCCAAGCCCCGACCAGGCUCGAAUCUACUUUUUGACAUCACAGUCGCAAUCAUUUUGUAGACAGUAGGCAUUGGAGCUUCAGGCGUCAAAUCUUUCUCCGCAACACUCAUAAUUUCCACAGUAUAGAAACUACUACCCUUUGAGAUAUCUUCAAUCACGGUACACAACUAUUGGGAUGACUUGCAUGGCUCUCUUCCGCUUGAAUGACUAUUUUAUGAUCCUCCCAAAUAACUUCAAUAGCUGAUGAAGGGUCGAUGAAACUGCCUUUGCACCAUGGGCCCAUGGUCUUCCCAAGAGCAGGUUGUAACUAGGAUGGAUAUCCACAACAUAAAAUUUAGCCUUGAAUUCAGCAGGUCCCAUCUGGAUGUACAGAUCAAUUUUACCUAUGGUAUCUCUCUGCCCUUUAUCAAAUACCCACACAUUUGCGUGGCUUUGGAAAAUUUUCCCUAAAUCAUAGCCUAUUUAAACCAAUGUGGACAGAGGAAAAAUAUUCAAACUAGAUCCGUCAUCUAUCAAUACCCGAUUAAUCACAUAGUCCCAACAAAUGACAGUGACGUGCAUGUCUUUAUAAUGCAUCACCCCUCAAAUGGCAACUCUUUCUCACUGAAAGAUAUGCGAUGACUUCCCAUAAUAUUUCCUAUCAUUGUGGCCAAAUUCUCAACACUCGUGUUGCGGGAACGUAUGCUUCAUCCAGGACCUUCAAUAAAGCUUUUCAAUGGUAUUGCAAACUCAUUAAUAGUGCUAAAAUAAAAAUCUAGGUCGGAGUCUUCUCUAAAUGCUUCACAAUCCCCUUUAGUGAUUGGCGUUUUCUGUGAAUCCUUCCUAUUGUUCAAAUCUUUAGGAAUGUAGCAUCAUCCAGACCAUGUCAUCCCUUGGGCAGCGGUGGUUUCUAUAAUAAAUUCCUUACUGGGCGGAGGAGUGUACACCUAAGUUGGGGCCACCAUUACUUCAAAUGGGGGAUUCUCAUUGACACUUAAGGCAGCUACGGCUCUUUCUAUCUUCUCCACAUCUUCCUUCCUUUUGAGCUUUUCUGAAUUCACCUUAGUGAUGGUCUUGUUGGAUACCCAUUCGCCCUCUAUUUCAAUCAUGUUAACUGCAGGUCCCCCAUGAUUAGGCAAUGGAUUACUUUUGAUAUUUGGUGUUGGCGACUAAAGUGUGAUGACCUUUUGAUCAAUCAAAUCUUGGAUCUUAUAUUUUAAGUUAAUAUAAUCCUCUGUACUAUCCCCCAUCGCUCCCGAAUGAUAGGCACAAUGUUGAUCGGCAUGAUAAAAUCAGGAGUUGGGAUUGAUAAAUUUUGGUUGGAUAGGCUGUAGAUGACCGGUAACAUUCAAUCUCCUAAAGAGUUGAGUGCGAUAUUCGGCCAGCGGUGUGAAAUUUUUGGGAGGUCUUUUCUCGAGGUUUAGACGUGGAGGGUUAUAAUGGUUCUGAUUAACAGGAGGACUUGGCCAUGGGGCUUGGUAUUGGGAUUGGAUAUUUGGAAGUGGAGCUUGGUAUUGAGAUUGGAUAUUUGAGAGUGGAGCUUGGUAUUGGGGUUGGGUGUAGAACACAUGCUGAAAAUUUGGCGACGGCGAAGAGGAGAGAACGUUCGUAGGCUUGAAUUUCUUCUUCAAUGUAGCAACAGAAUCAAUAGAAAUUAUGCCUACAUCUUUCUUUUUCUUUAUUGGGAACAUAGAAGUCUCAAAUGAUGUUGGAGUUUUGACAAUCUUUCCUGUUCGAAUACCUUCUUCUAACGAUUCCCCAAUUUUCACCAAAAGUUGCUCUAACUGCGGAUACCAUCCUAGUAUAAUAUUCUCCAUCCUGAGCACGAGUGAACAUAGACACCAUCUCUUCCUCAGACAUGGGAGGUUGCAUUUUGACAACUUCUUUUCUCCAACGAAUGGCAUAGUCUUGAAAAAACUCAUUAUUAUUCUAUUUGAUCCGGUCUAAUGAAUAUCGGUCAGCGACUAUCUCAAUUUUAAACGCAAACCUAUAAGGAAACCUUUAGCCAAUGCCUUCCAACUAGUCCAUUUUUUCAGUUCUUGAGACGUAAACCAAUCUAAGGCUUCACCGCUUAAGCUCCGGCUGAACAAGCACAUCAAUAAUGCCUCGUUUUGGCCUACCCCCACCAUUUGAUCACAAUACCUUUUCAGAUGGGCUAUUGUAUCCUUCUGGUAGAUCUACUCCGGGGUGAACACAUAGAUGAUCGUAACCUAGACCAUCAUUGUCUGUCGCCCCAUGAGAUUCCUUGAUCCUCAUAAUUUAUUCAUUUAUAGCCAAUAACUUCAUUUUAUGUUCAGUCCUCCACUCUUUUUUCUUCUCCUCGUAAUGGUCUAUCUCGAUAUUGGGAAAGGGAUUUAUAUGUCAGGGGAUAUAAUGACAUAGGAAGAAUUUGGUAGGGUACCUUGAUUUUGAGGAUGAGAGGAGGUUGGGUGGAAGGUAGGGAGGAAGUUUUGGAAAUUAGAAAAGUUUUGUGGAAUUUUAGAGUAGUUUGGUGGGAUCUGAGAAGGAUUUUGCGAAUUUAGAAAUUAAUUUUGUGGAUUCAAGGAUGGAUUUGGUAGAUUUGGUAGAUUUAGGGAUGGAUUUUGUAGAUUUGGGAGCGAAUUUUGUGGAUAUGAAAGUGAAUUUUAUAGAUUUGGAAGCAAAUUUUAUGGAUUUGGAAGCGGGUUUUGUGGGUUUGAAAAUGGGUUAUGGGGAUUUGGGAAUGAAUUUUACGAAUUUGGAGAUGGGUUUUGUGAGGUUAGGGUUGGAUUUUGUGGAUGGUAAGCAUCUUGGUUAUUUUCGUGAUUGGUGUUUUGGAUAAGUUGAGGAGCAGAGACAGACGAUAUAUUAUUGGAAUGGUCCCCGAGAAUAGGCGUACUGAGGGGAGGGAUCUGAAGUAAAGUCCCAUGCCCUCCUAGAGCAGGAGCAUUGGUAGUGAUGGUCUGGUUAGCCAAGUCUCGAGUACGAUUCAUCUCUUCCUGAAGCACUUCUAAUUUUCUCGUGAGUUCAGCAAUCAUCUCGCUUUGUUGCUAUUACAUUAUCCCUGAUGGUCAACGCAUUUUCUUCGUUGUUUCUAGAUAUUUUUGAAUGAUGGUCAGAGGAUGGCAUUUUAUGUACUUUUGAUCGGGUAGAGUAAGGAUGUUCUACCAGCUUAUUCAACACGGAGUAGUUUUCUAUUAUCUAUAAAGUAAAAUAACUCAAAGGCAGAUGUGUUAGUUUCUAUAUGUGAUAGGUAAUGCAAUAUACUUGACAAGAAGUAAACACAUAUAGUUGUUUUUAUCAUAGGUAAAUUCAUCCACGGGUGGGUAUUGACUCGAAAGAAAUAACGGGUUAGUCUUUAUCCAUUGAAUUUUGGAUAAAUAGGUCUUGACAAGAUUUUUGCCAAGUCUUUUGAUUUUGGACUCAUCUGAAUUUUGACAAAAUGAGACAUAACGAUUUUAAAGGAUAGAGGCCGAGCCAAAAGGCUGCUUACAUAUCUCACAAAGGAGAAAUCAGGCCGUAUGUAGUUCAAAUAGCUUGGGACAAAAGUUUAUUUCAUUGACAUUCCAUUAGAGUUCAUUACAUCAGGAAACACGAAAGAAAAACAACGACGGAAAAUACAAGACUAAUGACUAAGUCCUAGAUAGAUGCAAGCAUUCCCACUUCAUUCUAGUUCUUCCACAUCUUGAUCUUCUAUAAGUGGUAUGGCGGGAAUUCCAGCUCGACCCUUUUUGUAUCCACCAGGCUCUCUAAAUCCAUCUUAGGAAUUUCUUCCAAGCCUUAGACAUCGUAUUAGGAUUCCUCUCUACUGGUUCCAAAAUUUUGGCAUGGAUGAGCUUUGAGUAGAUUUCAUGGUAAGUAUCUUCAAACUUUGUGAAGUCAUAUUUGUAAAUUUGCAUGUCGGUUAUGGGCAUGCCUGAAUCAACCCGAUCGCAACAAAGAAUAGCUUGCAGCCCCCAUAAAUUAUUCAUAUGACCAUUAUGGAUCAUGUUACAAAUUUUGGCCUUCAGAAUAAGACACUCAUCAAUGAUGUGGCCACAUUGGUUUAGAUGAUAUGAUAUCUCUUAUGAACAUCUUCGGAAAGGCAGCCGAAUCUUUCUAUUUGAUCAGGGUGGAGGAUUCUCAUAUCUCUUAGAACCUGAUAGACUGUUCAGCAUGUCAUGAUCUGGGGGUACCGUGAGUAUCCUUUUAAGUGAGCUUUGAGGAUGAUCUUUUCAUUUCCUAACCUGAUCCUAGUUGUCUAGACGGAAUCCCCUUUAAUCUUGGCCCAGCGGUCCUCUCUUAAGUUUGAGGGCGGAGCUUGCUCAAACUUCUUCUUUUCCUGUGUGAUCAACUGCUUGACUUUAGCAAUUUCCUCGUCGAUCUGAUCAACCCUCUUAAUCAAUCUUUUGACCUCUUCUUUUUGCAUUUCUUCUAUUUCGGCUAACUCCAAUAUCCGUCUUUUCAGCUAUGUGGUCCUUGAAUCUAUGAAAAAUUUUCCUGAAAGAAUAUACAUAUGAAAAUGGUUGAGGACUUUAUGAGAAACUUGGGACUUGGCAUGUUUUGGACGGACCUUAGAUAGUAUGUGCGUAUUUUCUGCCUAAAGGGUUUUCUAAGGAUCUGUUGGGGAGUAGAUCAGUUUACCUUUGAUUUAACAACACACAUAGCACAUAAAAAAUUAUAUCACAUAAGACAGUUAUAUCACACACAACAGAUAAUGCGUGCGUCUUAGUUGUGUUACCCCUUUGAGCCAAGGGUUGGCCUAGCGGGUUUUGAAGAAAAUAUAUGCCUUUUUAAAGCCAAUCCAUUAUCCUUCCAAUUUUCAUAGACAUGUAAAAAGGCAUAAAUAUCUACAAAAGAUAACAAAAGAGGGAUACAAUCUUUAGAGGAACGGGAAAUAACAUGAAAGAAAAUAAGGUCCCACGCAGGGGAAUAGAAAAACUACCUACUGGAUGCUCUUUCGCUUGCCUUUGCCUUCUUAGCCUUGUUCACCUCCUACCAAAUCUGAUAUUUGUUGAUGAUCAAAUGACUCCCAAAUAAUUGCGCCUUGUUCUCGUAGGUCAUUCUUUCUAUGUCGCCAAUCUGAGCAGUCAUGCAAUCAUCCAAAUCAAUCAAACACUGCCUAGCAUUGCUAGCCUCUUGCCUGACUCGCUUCAACUCUUUCCUCAACAUAAGUAUAGUCAAAGCACCCUCCAUAUGCAUUUGUUGGUGUGUGAUUUCACAUUUUUUGAAAUCCAUCCCGAAGUCUGUGGAGUCAGAUCUGAUGCUCUGAUUCCACAUCAACAACCCGAGUGGGUACAUUCGGCCCUGGAAUCAAUGCUCCAACGAGACUCUUUUUCAACCACUCCUUGUAAGUAUCGCUAACUUUGGGUUCAUACUCGAUACGAAAAGAAAUUUCCUUCCACCCUCUUCUACUCCAUCCAUUUACUAUGUAGUCUUUGGGCGGAGACUCGCCUUCAUCAUACUCAGUGAAGAAUCUAAGCAUAGACUCGAAUUGGGGUGUCUUCUGCUUGAUCUCGAAUUGUCUAAGAACUCUGUCAGGAUUGUAGGGACGGGUCCCCCUGAGACCUGAAAGCACUAGAAAAGGCCACUCACAUCCUCGAAUGAUAUAUCUCCCUGAACGAAGAUAUUUGAUGGACCAUUGGACAUCGUUAUCCCUUAAUUCUCCAAGAGUCUUAAACCCAAAUACCGGAGAUGCUUCCCUUUUGAACUUGUGCAGGAACAGCCACAUGUCAUGCGAUGAUAAAAGAUCAUCCCUCUUUUUAUGAUCAGGCUAUAUCGUUCUAGAAUUUUUAACCAAAUGCAUCAUCAUCCACAAUUGCAAGAUAAGGUUGCAACCUUGAAAGAAAUGAUCCUCGGCUUGACACCUUCUCAAAGCUCGAUAUAUGUCGGCUAUAAUCAUGGGAGCUAAGUUAUGGAAUACCUUUUUAGAAUCGUACUUCAUUCCAUAGAAGAGUGUGUGGGUCACCGUGACAACCCUUAGAUGAAUUGUGCCAUUUUCCCCUUGUGGAAACACCAUAGUUCCCAGUAGGCCUACCGCAAAUGCAAAUGCUCUUGUCUCCUUCCAUUUUGCUUUCGACUCAAACUUAUGUUCGAACUUUUAAAAAGCAUUAAAUCUUCCAAACUGGCAAUACAACUCACGAAAAGGGAUAUUUUCCCCCAUCACGUUCCCCUAGCCAGGUGUCAUUAUCAGUUAGAAAUACCUUCUUGAUCUCUUGACGAUCCCACACUAUCGGGACUAGAAUGUUCUUAUCAGGUGUCUCUUUUCUCUUGAAAUAUAUCUCAGUACUCUCGUAACAAAUCAACACUUCUUCAAUAGUGGGAGUCAAUUCAACAUUCCCGAAGCGAAACACCAUAUUCUGAUCAUCCCAAAAGGUUGUUAGCACAUGAAUCAUUUCGGGCCAAGCGUCCAUCUCAAUCAACGAAGGCAAAUGCCCGAUAUGUGUUCUAACAAUCUUUUUUUCUUUUCCGCUUAUUAAUCCCACCAUAGUUUCAGGAAAUUGUCGAGUCCGGUAACCAUCUUGAGCUUUUCACGAGAAUGUAGUUGAGCCAUAUCCUACAUAAAAGAAGACAAAGAUGAGCUUUCCUCUGACCCCAAAGGAUAAUGGAUUGAAUUAAACAUACAUUUUCUUCAACACAUAAAUAUGAUUCUAGGCUCAUGCCUAAAAUAGGAUUUUGGUUUCACUCUAUCCUAGGUGUCUAGAAUGGGUUUGAACCAGGUUCCAAAGCGAACGACUUGGGUUUGAAAAUACGAACAUCCAUCAGACGACUCACGUGCUAAUAAAUCGUCGUAUUUUCAACACCUUAUUUGGAGUUGAACAACAAGGGUCGGUACAUCCACAAAAUCCCAAAACAGUUUAUAAAUAAAUGCAGAAAUAUGUUAUGAGAUGCAAUAAUUAAAUACCGCAAAAUCAAACAUAUAAUCACAUAGACAAUUAAUCAAAAGACGAAAACAAACAUUUGAUUAGAACCUAGUUUAAAUAUCCCCAGAAGAGUCGUCAUUUCUGUUUUAUCCCUUUUCGAAUUUUUAUUUUAAAGAAAAUGAUUUUGACCCUUUUAAACUCUUUCAAAAGAUUCAAGAGAAUGUCGAAAUAAUUUUGAAAGAUUUUACAGAAUCGCCACUUGAUUUUUAUAAAAAAUAUCAAGAAAACUUACAAUAGAUUUCAAAGAUUCAAAAAUAAAAAUAAACCUUUGAAAUAAGAAAACUGAGUAAGAGUUCAAUUAACGUCCUAAGAAGGUUUUUAAGACAUUUAGGAGCGUCUGUUUUAAAACGGUUCACCAAUAGACUUAUUUUUUGACUAACUUAAAAAUGUGACUUACUUUACGAAAAGGUUGACUUUAAAAUACUAAAAUUAUAUAUUUUACUCAAAAUUGGCAUUUGUUCAUUUGAAUGAGCAAUAGUCUACUUAAAUUAGAAAGAAAGCUACAACAUAUUCUGCUUAUUAAUUUUGAGAAAAACUAUUCUGCCAUAUUUAUGAUUAAAUUUUGGAAAAAAAAAGUUGCAAAAUAUUCUAUUUGAGAAAGUAUUUUACCUAAUUCGUAAUUAUGCCUAAGAAAGGAUAUGAAAUAUCUUACUUGAAUUAAAAAGAAACUUAUUUAGACUAGGUGACACAUUUGAAUUUAAAGAGAAUAAGUUGGUUUUUAUGUGAAAAGAAGAUCAUAUAAUUAUUUAGUAUCAUUUAUUGUCAUAAAAAUGGUCAUUUUGUUAUGGCUAACACUUUUGAAAAACAUUAAGAAUAUCAUAUUAAAAUAUUUCAUCAAUUGUAGAAAGUUGGAAUCUACGAGAAAACAACUUUUCGAGUUUGAAGAGAAUUAUAUUUUUUUUUACCCAAGUAGACUAUUUUGUCAUAUGAACAAAACAAAUGUCAUUUAGACUAAAGUACUCAUUUCCCAUUUUUCUUUCAUACGAGACUUGUUUAAGAAAAAGUCAACGAAACCAAAUUAUUCCUUUUUUAAAAAAAAUGAAUUAGGCGAGACAAUUGCAAAUCAAGUAGGAAAAUUGAGAUAAAAUAAAAUAGCAUGGGGAAACACUAGGCUAAUUAUAAAGUUAGUACAAGUAGACAAUAAGCAUAAAAUGCAAAUUAUAAGUAAACAAAAGAUCAAAAGUUGAGAAUGGGCCCUUUUAGGCCCAUCAGUGGGCUGCCCAGCUUUGGGCCUCCCAUUGUAUGGACUUUUAAGUCCAUUUUUCUGCAUUGUACACCACAGGUAUACCAGUCCCUCUUUUCUAGCAUUUUGGGUAUAUUUAGUGUAUAUAUGACCGUAUUUCGGUCAUAUAUACAUAACUUUGGCCCUCCGUCUGUAUCAUCAGCUCCGUUUUCUCCUUUUUUUCACCGUAUAUCACCCGUAUACCGGCUUCCAUAAUGCGUAUACCACUAUAUUAGGACUGUAUCUACAUGUUAGUCCCUUCGAUUACUUUUGGGACGUGGUCCCGGAGAGAUGCAGGCUAUGGAGUCCAAUUGGACUCGGACGAUUUACAUAAAAUGUAAGGAUUAGUACAUGCAACAUGUAGUACCAAUAUGCGUUAGUGAAAAUAGAGCCUGUGAAUAUGUCCAAGUAGCAAGUAACAAAGACAAGAACUUGUGAAGAAAUAUCAAAUCCUCAACCAUUAACCAACAUGCCUAAACACUAGAUAUACUUGUGUAACAGUGAAGCACUUAGCACUAAUGAUGGAAAACUCGUGAAUACUUUUUGUAGCACUUACAUUGAGCAAAUUUUCAGUUACCAAGCGAAAUCAAAUAAAAAUAUAUCAAGAUUAACACACAACUCCCACAAGAGAACAGUAAGAACAAAAUUAAACAAAUAUCUUCACUUUACUGAUUCGAAGGAGAUGAACUUAUUAUUUUUUUUAUUUAUUUUUCACCAAUCCCACCAGCUCUUCGUCUCUCUAAGUCCAACUAACAUUACAGGUACCAACAUCUGGUAAAAGAUUAUUCGAGCCAUCUCCGGGAAAUGCAAUAUUUGGCACACAUGAAAAAAUGGCAAAGAAAGAAAAGAUAUGUCAAAGUUCAAAUCUUUGACAAUUUAUGUUGGAAUCUAGUCUCACCUUCAGACUAUUUU
This 18214-nucleotide long non-coding RNA is filed under the name Capsicum annuum. Its description in RNAcentral is "long non-coding RNA (CANN_LNC007250)". The record is from RNAcentral. Lineage: Eukaryota; Viridiplantae; Streptophyta; Magnoliopsida; Solanales; Solanaceae.